Long non-coding RNA from Myotis davidii, 339 nucleotides. RefSeq lists it as uncharacterized. The record is from RefSeq and is a predicted model, not a curated record. The transcript has 2 exons. NCBI's taxonomy places the organism in Eukaryota, Metazoa, Chordata, Mammalia, Chiroptera, Vespertilionidae.
ACUGGUCUCAGAAAGCACAUUUUCCUUUACGUGGGAAGGACAGCACAAUUAUCCCAAGGUCAGAGGGCUCCAAUUAAUGUGUCCCUGUUGACUCCAGUGUUCUGGAGACCCAAAAACUGUAAUUAAGAUAACAUGCUUAAGUAAACUGUUUCUGCUUCUGUAAACUGCUUUUUUGCAAAGCAGGUUCCUCAUUCCAAACCUUGGGAUGUGAUCAAUACCUUUGUGAUCUUUGCCUAUAUAAGUCUGGUGUUGGGGCUGGGGCAGGCACUGUGAGAUCUGGGAGAGCGAAAUGCUCCCCCAUAGUCCUGGAUUUGCAAUAAAUGUGACUCUUUAAUUCGA